Molecule: long non-coding RNA, 319 nt
Filed under: Mytilus galloprovincialis (Mediterranean mussel)
Lineage: Eukaryota; Metazoa; Mollusca; Bivalvia; Mytilida; Mytilidae
Source: RNAcentral
GGGGGGGGGGGGGUCAACAUAGCUGAAAGUUUUGUUAAUCUAAAAUCAAUUUUACAUAUAUCCAUAUAGGUAAAUCAAUUUUUCCCAAAUUAAGUUAAGAAGGGGGGUAGGGGGGUCAGCGAAAAAAAUAUGUGAAUUAAGUUUUUUAUCCUAUAUUGAACUUUUGAUGUCGUCCCUACAGAACGGCAUAAACAAAACUAUAUGAAUUAAGUUUUUUAUCCUACAUUGAACUUUUGAUGUCGUCCCUACGGAACGGCAUAAACAAAACUAUAUGAAUUAAGUUUUUUAUCCUACAUUGAACUUUUGAUGUCGUCCCUAA